Molecule: small nucleolar RNA, 109 nt
Organism: Capsicum annuum
Lineage: Eukaryota; Viridiplantae; Streptophyta; Magnoliopsida; Solanales; Solanaceae
Source: RefSeq, a predicted model, not a curated record
UACUGAUAUUGGUGAGGGUAAUUUCUAAGAAUACCUUUAAAUCUUUCCCAAGCUUGGUAAAUAUUUUCUCUUUCUUUCUGCUUGAAACGUAGAAUCUUGCUCUCAAGCA